This 369-nucleotide ribosomal RNA is filed under the name uncultured bacterium. Its description in RNAcentral is "bacterial SSU rRNA". It matches the Rfam family "Bacterial small subunit ribosomal RNA", at positions 527 to 896 of the family's 1533-position model. The record is from RNAcentral.
AGAGGGUGCAAGCGUUAAUCGGAAUUACUGGGCGUAAAGCGCGCGUAGGUGGUUUGUUAAGUUGGAUGUGAAAUCCCCGGGCUCAACCUGGGAACUGCAUUCAAAACUGACUGACUAGAGUAUGGUAGAGGGUGGUGGAAUUUCCUGUGUAGCGGUGAAAUGCGUAGAUAUAGGAAGGAACACCACUGGCGAAGGCGACCACCUGGACUAAUACUGACACUGAGGUGCGAAAGCGUAGGGAGCAAACAGGAUUAGAUACCCUGGUAGUCCACGCCGUAAACGAUGUCAACUAGCCGUUGGAAGCCUUGAGCUUUUAGUGGCGCACUAACGCAUUAAGUUGACCGCCUGGGGAGUACGGCCGCAAGGUUA